RNAcentral lists this long non-coding RNA (204 nucleotides) under Elaeis guineensis (African oil palm). Its description in RNAcentral is "long non-coding RNA (EGUI_LNC029863)". The record is from RNAcentral. Lineage: Eukaryota; Viridiplantae; Streptophyta; Magnoliopsida; Arecales; Arecaceae.
CCUUUGAGGUCUUUGGGAUGUCCACCUCCACCGUUGAAGAUCUUGGCUUGCUCUUUUGCAUCACCAUAGAGUAUAUAGUAGGCAUCCUUCUACUUGACAGCUGCAUCAACUGUUGCCCUGAACUUUUUUAAAGAAUCCACAGCAUUCCUAAACCAGCAUCCGCUGCAACCAAUGCACCUGACACGGUCUCCUCAGAGCCACGCC